CUACGGGCGGCUGCAGCUAAGAAUCUUCCGCAAUGGGCGAAAGCCUGACGGAGCGACGCCGCGUGGGUGAAGAAGGCCGAGAGGUUGUAAAGCCCUUUUCUGCUUGAGGAAUAAGCAUCGGAGGGAAUGCCGGUGUGAUGACGGUAGGGCAGGAAUAAGCCCCGGCUAAUUACGUGCCAGCAGCCGCGGUAACACGUAUGGGGCGAGCGUUGUUCGGAAUCAUUGGGCGUAAAGGGCGUGUAGGCGGAAAUGCAAGUCUGGUGUGAAAGACCGCAGCUCAACUGCGGGACCGCGCUGGAAACUGCAUAUCUCGAGUUCCGGAGGGGGAGUUGGAAUUCCUGGUGUAGGGGUGAAAUCUGUUGAUAUCAGGAAGAACACCGGUGGCGAAGGCGAACUCCUGGACGAGAACUGACGCUGAGGCGCGAAAGCGUGGGGAGCGAACAGGAUUAGAUACCCCCGUAGUC
RNAcentral lists this ribosomal RNA (464 nucleotides) under uncultured bacterium. RNAcentral describes it as "partial 16S ribosomal RNA". It matches the Rfam family "Bacterial small subunit ribosomal RNA", at positions 339 to 795 of the family's 1533-position model. The record is from RNAcentral.